AAUAUUAUUCCAGAAUAACUUUGACACGAGUUGUAUAACUUUAUCUGCUGUCAUUCAUUCAUUUUUUUCCCAGGUAUCCCUGUUUUAAGCUUGAACUAUCUUUGCAAUAUUCAUUUAAAACCCAUCGUUUGCUGAUUUGAGCGGAUUGGAGCUUCAGUCUCAGGAUUUGAGGGUUCCUUUGGGACUCCAGGAUGUGUCAGGAAUUCAAACAGAUCAAAGUUUUACCAAAAGAAAUCACAAGUUCUGCUAAAACAGUGCAGCUGAACUCCAGCCUAGACGUAUGCAUGCAGCAUGAGCUUUAGCUUCAGACUCUUGGUGCAUUCUGCCCAGCUCCAGGAGGAAAAAGGACACAGUUGGACGUCAACUCAGCAAUGUGGACGAAACCCGUGUGGAUGCUGAUGACAUUGUAGAAAAAAUUAUACAGAGCCAGAACUUUUCUGACAUCGGCAGCAAUGAAGACAGCAACUUGAGAUUGUUUGUCAGCAAAGAUGGUACGGUUGCUCUUAGUGGGACACACAUUGCAAACAGAGAAUCUCCUGGUGUUUUUGAGCCUGUGGUCAUUGAAACUCGUUGAGAGAACCUGGACUUCACUUCAUGACACUGUUCAGACCGUGGAACAGCACUCCUCUGUUAGAGAAAUGACCUGUCCUAAUGUUUGUUACAACUUUUGCUGUACCGUGUUUAGAAUAUGAUAUUUAUACUUUGACCAUAGAACAAGGGGAACACAGGUUGGUUAGCUACUCUUCCAGUUUGAUGAAUGUCUGACUGCAGACGUAUAGUUUUUGACGUGUAAAGUAAAAUUCAAUUCUAUAUCAAUGGUGUUAGGCUACCGUAGGUGAACAACAGACGGGCAACCUGUUCAGAAUGAACACUGCCUUCGUCUAACUGUAGCUGGGAUGGAAUUAGCAGCUCUGUGACCAACAGGUUCUAUGGAUGGAUGGAUGGAUGGAUGGAUGGUUGGAUGGAUGGAUGGAUG
Molecule: long non-coding RNA, 976 nt
Organism: Oryzias melastigma (Indian medaka)
Lineage: Eukaryota; Metazoa; Chordata; Actinopteri; Beloniformes; Adrianichthyidae
Exons: 3
Source: RefSeq, a predicted model, not a curated record